RNAcentral lists this ribosomal RNA (301 nucleotides) under uncultured bacterium. RNAcentral's name for it is "partial 16S ribosomal RNA". It matches the Rfam family "Bacterial small subunit ribosomal RNA", at positions 509 to 809 of the family's 1533-position model. The record is from RNAcentral.
CAGUCGCCGCGGUAAUACGUAGGGUGCGAGCGUUAAUCGGAAUUACUGGGCGUAAAGCGUGCGCAGGCGGUUCGUUAAGACAGAUGUGAAAUCCCCGGGCUUAACCUGGGAACUGCAUUUGUGACUGACGGGCUAGAGUAUGGCAGAGGGGGGUAGAAUUCCACGUGUAGCAGUGAAAUGCGUAGAGAUGUGGAGGAAUACCGAUGGCGAAGGCAGCCCCCUGGGCCAAUACUGACGCUCAUGCACGAAAGCGUGGGGAGCAAACAGGAUUAGAUACCCGCGUAGUCCUGUCUCUUAUACA